Molecule: long non-coding RNA, 478 nt
Organism: Lolium perenne
Lineage: Eukaryota; Viridiplantae; Streptophyta; Magnoliopsida; Poales; Poaceae
Source: RefSeq, a predicted model, not a curated record
CACAAAACCAAGAUCGGAAGUGGUCUCCUAGUCUCCUACACAAGAUGGCCAUGGCAAAAUAUGCACACAUAUUUGUUAGUCUUUCGAUCCUUGUUCUUUGCGCCAGGGUGCAAGCCCAAGGGGAAAUCGGAGAGAGGCAAAUACACAACAUCACGGAGUACAUUCCAAUGGAGUACAGGAAAAUAUUUUUGCAAGAACCUUAUUCACCGGAGGAGAUUUCCUUGAAGCGGUGUUACCCGUGCCUCUGUUGCCCUAAGGAUGAGAAGAAACCAUGUUAUAACGCAACAUCAUGUUGCUGGGAGGUAGACUGCAACAGUCCCUCAAGUCCAAUAGGUACCUGCGGGGGUAUGCCAAUCUCCUGCACUUGUGACGGUAGUUGCAAGUGAUCAAUGUUUAGUCGCAUGGCGACUUAUGACAAUAAGAUAUGUUUUUUUUACAGUUGACAAUAAUAUAUGUUUGUCGUGAAUGUUUUGUCAUC